RNAcentral lists this ribosomal RNA (292 nucleotides) under uncultured bacterium. RNAcentral describes it as "partial 16S ribosomal RNA". The record is from RNAcentral.
GGACUACACGGGUAUCUAAUCCUGUUCGCUCCCCUAGCUUUCGCGCCUCAGCGUCAGUUGCCAGCCAGGACACUGCCUUCGCCUUUGGUAUUCCUCCGGAUAUCUACGCAUUUCACCACUCCACCCGGAAUUCUAUGUCCCUCUCUGGCCCUCAAGUCCGGCAGUUUUCGAAGGCCCUCCUCAGUUAAGCCGAGGAUUGUCACUCCAAACUUACCGCACCGCCUGCACGCCCUUUACGCCCAGUAACUCCGGACAACGCUCGCCCCCUACGUAUUACCGCGGCUGCUGGCAC